GUGCUGCGCAUAACACUAUUUCUACAAAAUACAUUGUAUGGAAAUUGUUAUAAAUAAGAAGAUGUGGUAUGAUUGCCAAUGAGACAACUGUGCUUAAGAGACCAAAAUGGCACAGACAUUAACAACUAUAGGUCAUAAUACGGCCUUCAACAAUGAGCCAAGCCCAUACCGCAUAGUCAGCUAUAAAAGGCCCCGAAAUGACAAUUUAAAACAAAUCAAACGAGAAAACAAACUGCCUUAUUUAAAUAAAAAAAUGAACAAAAAACAAAUAUGUAACACAAAAACAAACGACAACCACUGGAUUACAGGCUCAUGACUUGGGACAGGCACAUACAUAAAUAAUGUGUGUGGGUUAAACAUGUUAGCGGGAUCCCAACCCUCCCC
This 384-nucleotide long non-coding RNA is filed under the name Mytilus galloprovincialis (Mediterranean mussel). Lineage: Eukaryota; Metazoa; Mollusca; Bivalvia; Mytilida; Mytilidae. The record is from RNAcentral.